CGUACAUUCUAAGAAAUUUAAAAGAAACCUACCCAUAUCUGUAGACGUGUGGCUUCCUACCUAAGGGCCAUUGUUAUUUCCCAUCUUCUCCUACAGCUAGAGGGGACGAUGUGACCUAGCUCUGAUCAGUGGAUUUUAAGUAGAAGCCACAUGGACAACUUAUAGUUCAGUUCAUAUCCUGUAAGUGCUGGGCUCCCACAUCCUCCCUUUUCUUUUCCCCUUCCUGCAGGCUGGAACAUGGAGGUAAUGAUGAUAAAGGUUUAUCUCUAGAGACAAGGACUGUGCAUAGUGGCAGAUGGAACAACAAAACAGAAUUUGCCUCCCUGGAUGACCCCUUAAAGCAGAAGUGCCCGGUUAGUCCUGUGCUUUAAUGGGAGAGAUGUGAGAAUUGAGACCAUCUCUGUCAAUAUGCUCAGACAAUACCUACAGACUGCUGGUUCAGCAUCAUUUAUUUAUUUGACCCAGGAAAAGAUAGAAAAUCGUCAACAUCAAUACAUUGGAGACAACAGACUGCUUAACAGGGCCACUUGUCAGCAAUAACUGAUGUCUACUAGAUCUGGGAGACUUACCAGUUCUGUGCUGUUUGGGUUCAUGACUGACACCACUGUACUCAACAAGGGUACUUUUAUUAAAAGUUGCCU
This is a long non-coding RNA of Cercocebus atys (sooty mangabey), 641 nucleotides long. RefSeq lists it as uncharacterized. The transcript has 4 exons. The record is from RefSeq and is a predicted model, not a curated record. Lineage: Eukaryota; Metazoa; Chordata; Mammalia; Primates; Cercopithecidae.